Molecule: RNA transcript, 1933 nt
Organism: Carassius auratus (goldfish)
Lineage: Eukaryota; Metazoa; Chordata; Actinopteri; Cypriniformes; Cyprinidae
Gene name: zinc finger BED domain-containing protein 1-like
Exons: 3
Source: RefSeq, a predicted model, not a curated record
CGUUUUGUAUUUAUUUUUGAAUAUUAAAAUGUUUUGAUUGUGCGCCGGUUCCCGCCUCCUUCUUCCCGAUGAGUAUGGAGAUUUUAAUAUUAUUACACUGUCGUCUUUCUGCGGUGCCCUUUAAGCGCGCAAAAAACCUGUAGGGAAUUCGCGCCUUAUAUACCAUAUAUGGUUUUGUUUUGUUUUUUUUGUUUUUUUUCUUGACAAGCAUCUGAAUCAGUUCAUUUCAUUUUCAUUUGCAAUGGUGUGUUCCUGUGAAUUACAAUGAAUACGUUUGACCGCGACAAUCUCCUACAAAAGAGCAAUUCACGUAGUGAAGUAUGGAAUUACUUCGGAUUUUUACCUGAUGAGACUGGAAAACCUAUUGAUGACGGAAAACCAGUCUGCCGUGAAUGCCUUACGAGAAUUCAAGCUAAAGGGGGAAACACCAGCAACCUCAUCAAGCACCUUUGGACACAUCCAACAUCUUAUGCAGAGUACACAAAGAAUCAGAACCAUGCUGCCCUAACUGGUGCCCAAAGCCACACAGGUAACCCUGCCACCAGCAAGUCGCAGCCCACCAUCGACAGCCUCUUUGAGAAAUCCAAGAAGUAUGAAGCAACAUCCAAAGAAGCAGCUGUUCUAAACAGAGCUGUGGCCGAAUUCAUUUGUCUUGACCAAAUACCAAUAUAUACAGUGGACAGGUUUGGAUUCAAGCAACUAGUCAAGAAGCUCAACAGCAAAUAUGAACUGCCCAGCAGGAACUUUUUCAUGAAUAAUGAAAUACCAAAAUUGUACACAGAAACUAGAGGGACAAUAAAAGCAGAACUUGAAGGAUCUGGAUUUUAUUCAUGUACUACAGACCUCUGGACCAGCAGAACAAUGCAGUCCUACAUGGCUGUAACUGCUCAGUUCAUAACAAUUCAUUGGCAAAUGCAGUCAUGGUGCCUGGGCUGUGCAGAACUUAAUAGUGACCACACAGCAGAGAGCAUAAGCGAGGCCUUCUCUGAGAUGUUGGAAGAGCAAUGGGGGCUCAAUUUACAUGAUUUACAUGAUUGUAACUGGAUUCCAUGCUUUGGGCAUAAUCUUGACUUGGCAGUUCACUAGGGCCUCAAUGUUGAUCAUGUAGGCAGUACCUUGUCUCGGCUUAGAAGAACUGUAUCUGCUUUUUCGCGAUCCGCCAAGCUGACAAGACAGUUAAAGUCAAAGCAGGCUGACCUUGGUGUACCACAACACAAACUGAUACAUGACGAACCUACCCGUUGGGGGUCCGCAUGUGACAUGGUGGAACGCUUUUUAGAACAGCAGCAAGCUGUUUGUGCUGUGUUAGCUGAUAACAGAAACAAGUGGCACCUCAUGCCUAAAGACCUGGAUGUUACUACAAUGGAAGCACUGAAAAAUGUGCUUGGACAUCUAAGGGAUUUUACUGAUGCACUAAGUGGAGAGCAGCAUCCCACAAUUUCCUCAGUCCUGCCACUGCUCUGGAAAACUGAAUCAAUUUUGAUAGCGUCUGCCUCUGACAGCCAACUAAGUUCUCGUAUCAAGGAUUGCAUAAGGUCUGAUCUGCAAAACAGAUACAAUCAGAAAGAGAUACAGACAACGUUGAACUGUUGUACAUUUUUAGAUCCGAGAUUCAAAGACACCUUUGUAUCUAAUGUACAAGAGGUGGAAGCACGGUUUCAGCAGCAGGUUGAGAAAAGCUUAAUGCAUGCAAUCCCAUCAGUGAAGAUCCCAAAUCAGCCUAAUUUCGGGUGUCCAAAAUCAGGGCUAAGUGGACUUUUGGCAGGUAUUAUGAAUGAGAAACGAGGAGCAACGCCAUGCACAACUGAGGAUGAUGUUACUGUCUCUGCAGCAGAACCACAGCAAAAGCUAAGGAGGGAGUUGGAAAUAUACAACAAAAUCCCAGAGACAGAUGCGAGAGAUGACCCACUCAAAUGGUGGAGGCAAAAUGAGG